Molecule: ribosomal RNA, 500 nt
Filed under: uncultured bacterium
Lineage: Bacteria
Description: partial 16S ribosomal RNA
Rfam family: Bacterial small subunit ribosomal RNA
Source: RNAcentral
AUUGAACGCUGGCGGAAUGCUUUACACAUGCAAGUCGAACGGCAGCACGGACUUCGGUCUGGUGGCGAGUGGCGAACGGGUGAGUAAUGUAUCGGCACGUGCCCAGUCGUGGGGGAUAACGUAGUGAAAAUUACGCUAAUACCGCAUACGAUCUAUGGAUGAAAGCGGGGGAUCGCAAGACCUCGCGCGAUUGGAGCGGCCGAUAUCAGAUUAGGUAGUUGGUGGGGUAAAGGCCCACCAAGCCCACGAUCCGUAGCUGGUCUGAGGGGACGACAAUCCACACUGGAACUGAGACACGGUCCAGACUCCUACGGGAGGCAGCAGUGGGGAAUUUAGGACAUUUGGCGAAAGCCUGAUCCAGCCAUUCCGCGUGCAGGAUGCAGGCCCUCGGGUUGUAAACUGCUUUUGUACAGAACGAAAAGGUUUCUACUAAUACUAGGAGCUCAUGACGGUACUGUAAGAAUAAGCACCGGCUAACUACGUGCCAGCCGCCGCGGUAA